GUGACAAAACGGUGAAAACCUGAGGCCAGGUCGUUGCUGUCAGAUGGGGACGGAGUCCUGCAGCAGUCAGAGGUGACAGAACACACUGAUGCUGCUACCAGGAAGCUCGAGAGAAAUGUGACUGAGUGAUACAGUGCGCAUGUGCCUAUGGAGAAAGGAGGCUAUCUGUGAGCUCUAGCAGUGCUUUUCUCUGCCCAGCAACAUCUCUGCUUCUUUCCUACGUUCUGCUUAAGCAGCUGUUCUGCAUUUAUGAUCUGAUCUGCACGCUGAGUCAACGUCGCUGUAACGACAUGGAUGGAGGGCAGAGGUCCGCAGGUUUGCUUUGAGGAAGCCCCAUAAACAGGGCAGAUGUUUCUGAUGGCGAUGCCGGAGCCAGCAGAACCCCUGCAGCAGUGCAGCCCCAUGGUGCUGGAGGCCCUUCCAGACUGGAGGUGUGGCGGUGGUCUGCAUGUCAGCAGAGCAGUCCCAGCAGCGUUCAGCAUGGAUGAGCCUGGUGCAGCACAUCACAGCUCAGAUGGGUUCUCCCAGGCGGCUGUGCAGCACAGAGCUAAUACAUGGAAUACAGGUGCUCGUGGACUCGUUCUGCACCGACCUGCCAGUCUGCAGGCCCCAAAAAUACAGGCACGGCCCAAAGGUUUCUAUUCAGGGCUCAGCAGUGGAAUAAGGAACAUGAGCCGUGGGAUAUCCCGUGUCACCGCAGGCUGCUCAGCCUGGAAGGGGCUGGUGGCAAAGGGAGGAAACGUCAGAAACGCCAUGGACUAUUUUAGAUCUGCAACCUCAGUUCUGCAAAGGACAGCCUGCUGAUGUGCCACGCUCAGCGAGCAGCGGGGAGGAACCCCACGGCAGGAAGAGAGACAGCCCUCUGCCCUUUGCGUUUCGAUUCCCGGUGUCUGUGUGUGUGGAGGUGAUUUGUCCAUAAUUGUUUGCUUUCUCCGGAGUCCUUUGAAGCGUCUGUCUCCCAACCGGUCCCCUCUUAAGAAUAAAUGCUUCCAAGCCACCAAUAACACGUGGGCCAUGAUUACAGCCCGGCUCCUCGCUGAGGGCCGUGAGGUCACCGAGGCAGCGCAGUGGGAACGGUUUUGCCUUCUGUGUGUGGGGUUGGGCAGAAGGACCCCCUGUGCUGCAGUGAGGGGCGGGGAGGGCUCUGUGUGGUGCUGGGGGGGCUCUCCGGGCACCGCGGCCUUUUCUUUUUGCUUUAUUGCCAUACCGAGUAUUUAUAUGGGGGCAGGAAGCGGUGUUUAAGGACGGUCUGUGCGCUCUGUGUGCCCCUUUGGAGGGCGUUACGAUGGGCUUUAAUUCCCUCAGCCCGUUUUCUUGCCCUUCUUGCCUCCUGUCUGCUGCAGGAGGUAAAGCCUCGCUGCGCACUGCCCGCGUGGGGCUCUCCAUCCCACCAGCCAAAACGUGGGCUCUCUGUUGGGUCUCUCCAUCCCAAGUGUGUCCCUCUGGGACUCCCCACCCCUCCGCCCUGC
Molecule: long non-coding RNA, 1469 nt
Filed under: Gallus gallus (chicken)
Lineage: Eukaryota; Metazoa; Chordata; Aves; Galliformes; Phasianidae
Description: long non-coding RNA NONGGAT003498
Source: RNAcentral